RNAcentral lists this ribosomal RNA (500 nucleotides) under uncultured bacterium. RNAcentral describes it as "partial 16S ribosomal RNA". It matches the Rfam family "Bacterial small subunit ribosomal RNA", at positions 30 to 523 of the family's 1533-position model. The record is from RNAcentral.
AUUGAACGCUGGCGGCAGGCUUAACACAUGCAAGUCGAGCGGAGAUGAGGUGCUUGCACCUUAUCUUAGCGGCGGACGGGUGAGUAAUGCUUAGGAAUCUGCCUAUUAGUGGGGGACAACAUUCCGAAAGGAAUGCUAAUACCGCAUACGUCCUACGGGAGAAAGCAGGGGAUCUUCGGACCUUGCGCUAAUAGAUGAGCCUAAGUCGGAUUAGCUAGUUGGUGGGGUAAAGGCCUACCAAGGCGACGAUCCGUAGCGGGUCUGAGAGGAUGAUCCGCCACACUGGGACUGAGACACGGCCCAGACUCCUACGGGAGGCAGCAGUGGGGAAUAUUGGACAAUGGGGGAAUCCCUGAUCCAGCCAUGCCGCGUGUGUGAAGAAGGCCUUAUGGUUGUAAGCACUUUAAGCGAGGAGGAGGCUCUUUUGGUUAAUACCCAAGAUGAGUGGACGUUACUCGCAGAAUAAGCACCGGCUAACUCCGUGCCAGCCGCCGCCGUAA